UUCUGACCGUAAACGAUGCCAACUAGCGAUCCGCCGGUGGAUUUUUAGCCCUGGUGGGUAGCUUCCCGGAAACGAAAGUCUUCCGGUUCCGGGGGAAGUAUGGUUGCAAAGCUGAAACUUAUAGGAAUUGACGGAAGGGCACCACCAGGAGUGGAGCCUGCGGCUUAAUUUGACUCAACACGGGGAAACUCACCCGGCCCGGACACCGUAAGGAUUGACAGAUUGAUAGCUCUUUCAUGAUUCGGUGGUUGGUGGUGCAUGUCCGUUCUUAGUUCGUGGAUCGAUUUGUCUGGUUUAUUCCGAUAACGAGCGAGACUCUAGCCUACUAAAUAGUAACGAGAUUAUCAAUGUCUCAGUUGCUUCUUAGAGGGAUUUUCGGUGUUUAGCCGCUCGAGAUGGAGCAAUAACAGGUCUGUGAUGCCCUUAGAUGUCCGGGGCUGCACGCGCGCUACACUGGCGAAAUCAGCGUGCUGUAUCCAUUCUCGAAAGGGAUUGGUAAACCCAUGAAAAUUUGCCGUGCUUGGGAUCGGAAAUUGCAAUUAUUUUCCGUGAACGAGGAAUUCCAAGUAAGUGCGAGUCAUCAACUCGCUCUG
This 593-nucleotide ribosomal RNA is filed under the name Cephalobidae environmental sample. RNAcentral's name for it is "SSU rRNA". It matches the Rfam family "Eukaryotic small subunit ribosomal RNA", at positions 1024 to 1643 of the family's 1831-position model. The record is from RNAcentral. Lineage: Eukaryota; Metazoa; Nematoda; Chromadorea; Rhabditida; Cephalobidae.